This 465-nucleotide ribosomal RNA is filed under the name uncultured bacterium. RNAcentral describes it as "partial 16S ribosomal RNA". It matches the Rfam family "Bacterial small subunit ribosomal RNA", at positions 338 to 795 of the family's 1533-position model. The record is from RNAcentral.
CCUACGGGAGGCAGCAGUAGGGAAUCUUCCACAAUGGGCGAAAGCCUGAUGGAGCAACGCCGCGUGGGUGAAGAAGGUCUUCGGAUCGUAAAACCCUGUUGUUAGAGAAGAAAGUGCGUGAGAGUAACUGUUCACGUUUCGACGGUAUCUAACCAGAAAGCCACGGCUAACUACGUGCCAGCAGCCGCGGCAAUACGUAGGUGGCAAGCGUUAUCCGGAUUUAUUGGGCGUAAAGGUAACUCAGGUGGUCUUUUAAGUCUGAUGUGAAAGCCUUCGGCUUAACCGGAGUAGUGCAUUGGAUACUGGGAGACUUGAGUGCAGAAGAGGUGAGUGGAACUCCAUGUGUAGCGGUGAAAUGCGUAGAUAUAUGGAAGAACACCAGUGGCGAAGGCGGCUCUCUGGACUGUAACUGACGCUGAGGUUCGAAAGCGUGGGUAGCAAACAGGAUUAGAUACCCGAGUAGUC